GUGAGGGUGAACCUGCGGAGGGACAUUA
Molecule: ribosomal RNA, 28 nt
Filed under: Alternaria sp. Ar
Lineage: Eukaryota; Fungi; Ascomycota; Dothideomycetes; Pleosporales; Pleosporaceae
Description: partial 18S ribosomal RNA
Source: RNAcentral